RNAcentral lists this ribosomal RNA (397 nucleotides) under uncultured bacterium. Its description in RNAcentral is "partial 16S ribosomal RNA". It matches the Rfam family "Bacterial small subunit ribosomal RNA", at positions 523 to 918 of the family's 1533-position model. The record is from RNAcentral.
AUACGUAGGGGGCGAGCGUUGUCCGGAAUGAUUGGGCGUAAAGGGCGCGUAGGCGGCCGCUUAAGUCUGGAGUGAAAGUCCUGCUUUCAAGGUGGGAAUUGCUUUGGAUACUGCCGCGCUUGAGUGCAGGAGAGGUUAUCGGAAUUGCCGGUGUAGCGGUGAAAUGCGUAGAGAUCGGGAGGAACACCAGUGGCGAAGGCGACUUACUGGGCCGUAACUGACGCUGAGGCGCGAAAGCGUGGGGAGCGAACAGGAUUAGAUACCCUGGUAGUCCACGCGGUAAACGAUGAAUGCUAGGUGUUGCGGGUAUCGACCCCUGCAGUGCCGGAGUAAACACAAUAAGCAUUCCGCCUGGGGAGUACGGCCGCAAGGUUGAAACUCAAAUGAAUUGGCGGGG